This 68-nucleotide transfer RNA is filed under the name Marmota monax (woodchuck). RNAcentral's name for it is "tRNA.Ala". The record is from RNAcentral. Lineage: Eukaryota; Metazoa; Chordata; Mammalia; Rodentia; Sciuridae.
GGUAUGUGGCUUAGUGGUAAAGUGCUUACCUGGCAUGCACAGGGCCCUGGGUUUGAUUCCCAGCACCA